GAUGAAGAACGCAGCGAAAUGCGAUACGUAAUGUGAAUUGCAGAAUUCAGUGAAUCAUCGAAUCUUUGAACGCACAUUGCGCCUGCCAGCACUCUGGCAGGCAUGCCUGUUCGAGCGUCAUUUCAACCAUCAAGCCCUAGGCUUGCGUUGGAGCCCUGUGGCUGCCGCAGGCCCCUAAAAGCAGUGGCGGGCUCGCUAUCACACCGAGUGCAGUAGAUUACUCUUCGCUCAGGGCGUGUGGCGGGUUCCAGCCGUGAAACCCCCUACUUCUCAGGGUUGACCUCGUAUCAGGUAGGAAUACCCGCUGAACUUAAGCAUAUCAAUAAGCGGAGGA
Molecule: unclassified non-coding RNA, 334 nt
Filed under: soil metagenome
Description: partial contains 5.8S ribosomal RNA, internal transcribed spacer 2, and large subunit ribosomal RNA
Rfam family: 5.8S ribosomal RNA (bases 1-120)
Source: RNAcentral